CAGACGGACGGCAGGUCCGCCCACUGACAAAUAAGGUUGUUUUCAUCUCUGGGAGAAGUGCUGUCUGGAGACGAAAACGGGGCAGGGUCUUCCUCCGUGGGACUGACCGGGAUGGCCUCUGAUGGAGGGACACCCACAGGUAAAUGUCCUUCCAGGCGGGCGGCGCCUGGGGAACCACCUCCCAGGGGAGAGAGCAGCGCCUCGCACAGGGAGGUCCGUGAGGGCUGCAGUCUGGCUCUCGUGGGGGGGCCGCAGGGUCUAAGUGAGGAGGGUGUGGUCCAGACGGCUCAGGGCUGGGAGGAUUGACGUGAACACACAAGGAAAACAGCCCUGCCGGGGCCAGGUGGUGUGCCGAGCUGUGAGGUUCGGUCCCCCCGUGUCCUGUCUCCCUCAGCGUGGGCAGGAGCGGCGACAAGGCUGGAAGAGUCCUUUGCACCCACGUGACAACGUGCUGGGAUGUCACUGUCUGCCGGUCGCCAUCACGGCCGGCCGUCGCGUGAAAGGGCCCUUGGAGGGGACCGCGGGGCUGCCCCCAGGCAACCAGCCGAGAAGAACAUGGACCUCAGUCCUGCAGCGUCCCCGGAAUGAGCGCGGGGGAGGACGCCGAGGGCCCAGAAGCCACGUAUCCGGGCGUGUGGGCCAUGGGAGCUGUGUGACGAGUCUCCCGUGCCACGCCGCUAACCUGCGGCCGUGCGCGGUACAGCACUGGACGGCAAGGCAGCGGGCUCCCGGCACAGAGCGGGGCCAGGGCCUACGGCAGCACGAGGCACAAGUUUCACAAGGAAAAGCAACUGGUGUCCAGCCUGGGACUGGCCGCUGGCCGCAGGGAUGGUGCGGGCAGACCCCAAGGCUGCUCGGGAGCUGCGUCCGCGUGUGAGCGACACAAGCUCUCCCGACGCCACGGCCAGCCUCUGCCGGUUCUGACCAGCUCCGGGGAGGGGCCGCUUGCAUGUGUGCUGGUCCCUCCCCCCGAGGCGCAGCGGUUUGCCACACGGUCACGUCUCACGCCACGAGGGAGGCAGUAGACUCGCACAGCCUGGGCGCGUCCCUCAGGAGAGCCGGUGACCCCGAGGAACAGACCGUGAGCUGCCUUCUCGUGAGGACCGUGGGCCGGGUGGCCCGCCAAGACGGGGCUGGGACAUCGUCCAGGCAUCGAGACACUGUGAUCUGAAAAUACAGACAAACUAUGGAAAUACAGAAACCUGGCUUCAGGGACCAGCCAACGCUUUCGUCCCGAGAAAAUGUCAAGCGACCGGGACCACAGAUUUUACUAGUCACGGUCGGCCCCCCCGAUCAGCGGUUUCCUGGCGUGGCAUCGUUAGUGGGGUGCUGUCCUCGCUCGGCUUCCUCGGUCCGUGGCGGCCCUGCCAACCAGCCGAUGAUGCGCAGAAGCCUAUUUAUUCUACGGUUUGUAAGCCUCGGGCUCCUGGGCCACGUCCGUACACGGCGUCUCCUGUCGUGCUGGGAUCGUUUCUGUACUGUCCUCACAGGCCAUCAGUUUUGAAGCCAGGAACCAAGAACCGAUGAUCUGGUCCUAGUGGAUUCCGCCUGCGGCGCCUCUGACUGUGGGGGUGACCUCCGCCUGCGAGAUCCCCACGUCCCCCCACAUCUCCAGCGAGCCGGGAAGGGACGCUCUGUCCUUGGGGACGGCUGGGCAGGCAGGCUGCGGAGCGGCCUCCGGGCCAGUGUCCCGAGAGGCCCCACGGAGCAUCGCUCCCGCACGCAGUGCGUGUCCGGGCGACUCGAGGACCUGGUUGCUUCCCGUGCCCAACCGAGGGCAAUAAAUCUGCCUUUAAAUGUGACACGGCCACCACCAUCCCGUCCCCCAGGACAGGCCGUGGGGCCACGCACGCGAGCCCUGUGCACAUCUCCGCUCUGCACUGGGUGUCGGGCUCUCCCGUGUGUCCGGCUGGGCUGGGUGGGCCGAUGGCGUCGUGCCCACGACGCGCGGUCCCUCGGCCAUCCUGAAGCCUUGACUUGACCACAGCGAUCUUCCUGGAGUGCUCUCAACAGGGACGCCGGCGCNGCCCGCCUCCCUCUGCAUUGCCCGCCGUGGGCUCCGCAGCCUGGGGGGCUCCCGUCACUGCGUGUGCCCAGCACCCCCACCUGCACCCACAGCCGGGGCCGCCGCUCACUCUGCUUCGUCCUGGGGACCUGGGACUGAGCGGAAUGUGUUCCCAGGCCGUCUGCUUUGAGCUUCGGUGGGGACCAGCCUGACACUGAAAGGCGAGGCCCCAAGCAACUGGUGCGGAGGGGCCCCGGAGCCCCGAUGUGGCCCCCGGGGACAGCGCGGCACGUGUCCCCGGCUGUGGUCAUAUGACAGCUUGUCCAAGGAGGCCGUUUCGCACGGCAUCGCCAGCCAAGAGUCCCUGAAACAGCCUGUCAUAAGCGGGCCCUCUUGAUCUUUCUUGCAGAAAAAUCCGUGUCGGAUUUGCAGUUGGCAGCAGGGAAGUAUGAGGAGAGCAGGAAGCAUCGCAGCUGACGGGGCGGCCGGCGCAUCCGAAGGUCAGAGAGCGGAGCCCGUCUUCAGCUGUAACGUACCUUCCAAGGAUUUGACCAACAAUCACUCUGAGAGCAAGAACCGAUGGCGAGCUUGGAGGGCACGAGAAACUGCCAGGGGCUUUCUGCUCACCUCACGGGGUCCUGAUUGUCACUGACGGGCAAGGGCACCAAAACACGCCUACCGUGCGGGUCCUACCCGUGGGCGUGAACAUGCGACGCUGCUCAAACGUAGCAAUAAUGAUGGCAUUCCU
RNAcentral lists this long non-coding RNA (2753 nucleotides) under Lynx pardinus (Iberian lynx). The record is from RNAcentral. Lineage: Eukaryota; Metazoa; Chordata; Mammalia; Carnivora; Felidae.